Molecule: long non-coding RNA, 417 nt
Organism: Callorhinchus milii (elephant shark)
Lineage: Eukaryota; Metazoa; Chordata; Chondrichthyes; Chimaeriformes; Callorhinchidae
Exons: 5
Source: RefSeq, a predicted model, not a curated record
GUGAUUAGAGUACAAGCAGAUACUUGGUGAACUUCUACCAGGGAUGUUGGAGCGUGGAUGAUUUGCCAGGUGUUGCUGUUGGAGGAGACACAAAGCGCUCAAAAGCGCUUACAGAGAGCUCAAAAUGGGCAGUGGGCCAUAAGAACUUAGAGCCCUGAAACCAGAGGAAACUGUGGUGGAAAGGUUUGGGCUGGAGAGUUGGAGGCUGAGAGCAAACUGAUGAUCCUAACUCCAGUCGAACUUUGAAAAAGCAGCUAUGGAACAUUGAGAUCUCAAUCGAUAAUUAGGACAGACUCCAUCGUGGAUAUUAAGAGUGUGCAGAACAUAUGAAAUUCAGAUAUCAAGUCAUCACAGGAAAGAACAUUUCAUGGCAGAGGAAUGUUUCUAUGCGGGAGUCCCGGGAAUUCUUGUGGCAGC